Molecule: ribosomal RNA, 407 nt
Filed under: uncultured bacterium
Lineage: Bacteria
Description: partial 16S ribosomal RNA
Rfam family: Bacterial small subunit ribosomal RNA
Source: RNAcentral
AUUGAACGCUGGCGGCAGGCCUAACACAUGCAAGUCGAGCGGAGCGGCGGACGGGUGAGUAAUGCCUAGGAAUCUGCCCGGUAGUGGGGGAUAACGUCCGGAAACGGGCGCUAAUACCGCAUACUAUCAGAUGAGCCUAGGGCGGAUUAGCUAGUUGGUGGGGUAAAGGCCUACCAAGGCGACGAUCCGUAGCUGCUCUGAGGGGAUGAUCAGUCACACUGGGACUGAGACACGGCCCAGACCCCUCGGGGAGGCAGCAGUGGGGAAUAUGCGAAAAUGGCCGAAAGUCGGACCGAGCAACGCCGCGUGAGUGAAGAAGGUUUGCGGAUCGGAAAACUCUGUAGUUAGGGAGGCGGUAUCAACACAAAAAGCCACGGCUAACUACGUGCCAGCAGCCGCGGUAAUUC